UCUGGUUGAUCCUGCCAGAGGUUACUGCUAUUGGUGUUCGACUAAGCCAUGCAAGUCAUAUGUUCCUCGUGAACAUGGCAUACUGCUCAGUAACACGUGGAUAACCUGCCCUUGGGUCUGGGAUAACCCCGGGAAACUGGGGAUAAUACUGGAUAACGCAUAUGUGCUGGAAUGCUUUAUGCGUAAAACGGAUUCGUCCGCCCAAGGAUGGGUCUGCGGCCUAUCAGGUAGUAGUGGGUGUAAUGUACCUACUAGCCAACAACGGGUACGGGUUGUGAGAGCAAGAGCCCGGAGAUGGAUUCUGAGACAUGAAUCCAGGCCCUACGGGGCGCAGCAGGCGCGAAAACUUUACAAUGCGGGAAACCGUGAUAAGGGAACACCGAGUGCCAGCAUCAUAUGCUGGCUGUCCAGAUGUGUAAACUACAUCUGUUAGCAAGGGCCGGGCAAGACCGGUGCCAGCCGCCGCGGUAACACCGGCGGCCCGAGUGGUGACCGUUAUUAUUGGGUCUAAAGGGUCCGUAGCCGGUUUGGUCAGUCCUCCGGGAAAUCUGAUAGCUUAACUGUUAGGCUUUCGGGGGAUACUGCCAGGCUUGGAACCGGGAGAGGUAAGAGGUACUACAGGGGUAGGAGUGAAAUCUUGUAAUCCCUGUGAGACCACCUGUGGCGAAGGCGUCUUACCAGAACGGGUUCGACGGUGAGGGACGAAAGCUGGGGGCACGAACCGGAUUAGAUACCCGGGUAGUCCCAGCCGUAAACUAUGCUCGCUAGGUGUCAGGCAUGGCGCGACCGUGUCUGGUGCCGCAGGGAAGCCGUGAAGCGAGCCACCUGGGAAGUACGGCCGCAAGGCUGAAACUUAAAGGAAUUGGCGGGGGAGCACAACAACGGGUGGAGCCUGCGGUUUAAUUGGACUCAACGCCGGACAACUCACCGGGAACGACAGCAAUAUGUAGGCCAGGCUGAAGACCUUGCCUGAAUCGCUGAGAGGAGGUGCAUGGCCGUCGCCAGUUCGUACUGUGAAGCAUCCUGUUAAGUCAGGCAACGAGCGAGACCC
This 1051-nucleotide ribosomal RNA is filed under the name uncultured euryarchaeote. RNAcentral describes it as "bacterial SSU rRNA". It matches the Rfam family "Archaeal small subunit ribosomal RNA", at positions 1 to 1053 of the family's 1478-position model. The record is from RNAcentral. Lineage: Archaea; Methanobacteriati; Methanobacteriota.